AACGAACGCUGGCGGCAUGCCUAACACAUGCAAGUCGAACGAGACCUUCGGGUCUAGUGGCGCACGGGUGCGUAACGCGUGGGAACCUGCCCUUAGGUUCGGAAUAACUCCCCGAAAGGGGUGCUAAUACCGGAUAAUGUCUUCGGACCAAAGAUUUAUCGCCUUUGGAUGGGCCCGCGUUGGAUUAGCUAGUUGGUAGGGUAAAAGCCUACCAAGGCGACGAUCCAUAGCUGGUCUGAGAGGAUGAUCAGCCACACUGGGACUGAGACACGGCCCAGACCCCCACGGGGGGGAGCAGUGGGGAAUAUUGGACAAUGGGCGAAAGCCUGAACCAGCACUGCCGGGUGAGUGAUGAAGGCCUUAGGGUUGAAAAGCUCUUUUCCCCGGGAUGAUAAUGACAGUACCGGGAGAAAAAGCCCCGGCUAACUCCGU
Molecule: ribosomal RNA, 432 nt
Filed under: uncultured bacterium
Lineage: Bacteria
Description: partial 16S ribosomal RNA
Rfam family: Bacterial small subunit ribosomal RNA
Source: RNAcentral